GUUUUAUUUUAAGAGUUAUUUAACUCUCUGUAAUAUGAGUCAUUUCAGUUGGUUAAUGACUGUGUUAAAGGACACAAAGCUUCAAUUUAAAACAAACUGCAUAUCUCAGUUUUACCAGUAGGAGGCAGUGUGGUGCAGUGUUUCUUUCAUGAACUCUCUUUGUUAGUGAACUCGUUGUUUCCUCAGUUUGCUGAGUCAUGCUGUACUGAACAGACACACUGUCGUAUUCCUCAUCUUUUCUCCUGUUUACACAGGGUGCUCAGGAGGUGGACGUGGUAAUGUGGAGGGAGGCAGCCAUCCUACCAUUGAAGCUCAAUGUGAAAGUCACAUUAACCCAUCUCAAAGGUUCGACGGGAACCUAUGGCUUCAGGCUUCAUACAAGUAACCAUACUAGUAUGAAGGGAGAAGAAGUGUCCAAGUCGGAGGUGAUUGUCAAUUUUAACGCUCAAGGAUGAAACUGAAAUCACAAUCCCUGAAAAAAUGUGGAAUCCGUUUGAUGAUCUUCUGGACCGGAGCCCAGUAACAGUCGUUAUUGUCACAAAGGAAGGGGAAAUCAUCGACGCUACUGUUAUGGAUGAAGAUCAGGAGGAAUAAAACCACACACACACACA
RNAcentral lists this long non-coding RNA (611 nucleotides) under Gouania willdenowi (blunt-snouted clingfish). Its description in RNAcentral is "lncRNA (ENSGWIG00000004330.1)". The record is from RNAcentral. Lineage: Eukaryota; Metazoa; Chordata; Actinopteri; Blenniiformes; Gobiesocidae.